AUGGACGGGGGCACUACUAGCAAGAGACGAGUAGGAGCCCCAGGAGAGGGGGAGAGCAGCGGCAAGAGGCAGAAUGCAACCAUGGGGAUGGACGCCCUCGACUGCCCCGUCUGCUUUCAUCCCCUCAGGCCUCCCAUAUAUCAGUGUUCUGUGGGGCAUUUCAUAUGCUCGUCUUGCCGUCCGAAGCUUGUGCGCAACAAGUGUCACUUGUGCUCUGCCGAAACUACCUUCAAGCGCUGUCUAGGGAUAGAACGUCUCAUGGAAUCAGUCACGGUCGCUUGCUCCAAUGCCAAUUAUGGAUGCGCCCAGAAGCUCACUUACUACCAGAAAGAAGAGCAUGAGAAGGAAUGCCCGAGCGCCCCAUGUUUCUGCCCGGCGUCCAGCUGCAGCUUUGCAGGGCCAACAGACGCCCUCCUUGAACAUUCCGCCUCCCAGCACAAGUGGCCGUGUACAACCAUCAAUUACUCCGAAGAUGUUGAGCUCUGCCUAGAACCAGGUCUACAUUUUCUUCGUACCAAAGACAGGGAAAUUUUCCUGCUCAACGUGGCACUAGAGCCAUAUGGGCAUGCCAUCUCUGUCGUCUGCAUCCAACCUAAAGCUAUAAACUCCAAGUUCAAGUGUAGGAUGUCCUAUGGUUCCUUUUUAACCAACUAUUAUCAGAGAUCAGUUUACAAGAUACGAAGCUCAUCAUUGUCUGAUGGGCUACCGAAGGGAUACAACUUAAUUCUGCCCAAGGAUGAGAUAGCUGAUGAUGGAAAGGGUACCUUGCUUACGUUCUCCAUUGAUGAUCCUAAUCCUGAAGUAAAGGUGCGUGAGCCCAUAUGUCUGAAACCAGUACGCAGUGUAUGA
This 849-nucleotide ribosomal RNA is filed under the name Triticum aestivum (bread wheat). RNAcentral describes it as "partial small subunit ribosomal RNA". Lineage: Eukaryota; Viridiplantae; Streptophyta; Magnoliopsida; Poales; Poaceae. The record is from RNAcentral.